Aplysia californica (California sea hare) is the source of this 324-nucleotide long non-coding RNA. RefSeq lists it as uncharacterized. The transcript is spliced from 2 exons. Lineage: Eukaryota; Metazoa; Mollusca; Gastropoda; Aplysiida; Aplysiidae. The record is from RefSeq and is a predicted model, not a curated record.
ACCACAGUUCCCAGUAGCCUGAUAUUUGCUGAUCAAGUCGGAACCUUUCAGUUUAACACCAAUCAAGAUGAACAACACCGUCUUUGUCGUUCUCGUCGUCCUGGCUCUGAUCGCCGCUGCCAGUGCUAUGUCAUUCUCCAGCUGUAACAGCAAGUUCAACGACUGGUACAGCGAUUGUAAGAGCCGUUAUGGCCAACAGAAAUGUGACUUGACCAUGAGCGGUUUCUCUGUAGCUUGCUAUUACAGCUAAAAUCCUCAUGCUUCAUGUCUCCUAAGCGUGUUGCAAGCCGCGAAUAUCUGAAUAAAUCUACUGCCUGAUAUCUU